Molecule: non-coding RNA, 785 nt
Filed under: Scirtes sp. 2 ACP-2013
Lineage: Eukaryota; Metazoa; Arthropoda; Insecta; Coleoptera; Scirtidae
Source: RNAcentral
AAAAGUUUUAUUUUAGCUUAAAAAUUCAGUUAAUUUUUUUUUUACAUGUAUAUUUUUGUGAGAUUUUUUUUUAUUUUUAAUAAAUAAAAUUAUUUAUUUAUUUGCAGUAUAAGAUUUUGUAAAUUAGGGGCUCCUAGAUAUAGAAAUAAAUUUUUUUACGAACAUAUUUUGUGCCAGCAGUUGCGGUUAUACAAAACGUGAUAUUGAGUUAUUUUAUUAUAUAAUUAAUUGUAUUUUUUUUAAUUGAGUUUAAAAAUUUUUAGGUGAAAUUUUUAAUUUUUAUGUAAUGUUAGAAUUGGUUAUUUGAUUUUAUUAAAUUUUUAUAUUAAACUAGGAUUAGAUACCCUAUUAUAGAAAAUGUAAAUUUAUUUAUUAUUAAAUUAGUAGUAGUUAAGUUCUUGAAAUUUAAAAGUUUUGGCGGUAUUUUAAUCUUUUUAGAGGAACCUGUCCUGUGAUUGAUAGUCCACGAUAAUUUUUACUUUUUUAAUAAAUUUGUAUAUCGUUGUUUAAAAGAUUUUUUUAGAAUUAAAAAUUUUUUUAAUUUAAUAUUAUAAAUUAAAUCAGAUCAAGACAUAGUUUAUAUAAAAGUAGAGAUGGGUUACAAUAAAUUUAUUUAAAUGGAUUUAAAUAUUAAUUUUUUUUUGAAGGUGGAUUUAAUAGUAAUUUUAUUUAUUUAUUAAAAUGAAUUAAGUUUUGAAAUAUGCACAUAUCGCCCGUCGCUCUUCUUUUAAAAGAAGAUAAGUCGUAACAUAGUAGGUGUACUGGAAAGUGUACCUGGAUAGACA